UACGUAGGGUGCAAGCGUUGUCCGGAAUUAUUGGGCGUAAAGAGCUCGUAGGCGGUCUGUUGCGUCGGCUGUGAAAACCCGGGGCUCAACCCCGGGCCUGCAGCCGAUACGGGCAGACUAGAGUUCGGCAGGGGAGACUGGAAUUCCUGGUGUAGCGGUGAAAUGCGUAGAGAUCGGGAAGAACACCAGUGGCGAAAGCGGCGACCUGGGUAGAUACUGACGCUGAGGUGCGAAAGCGUGGGGAGCAAACAGG
RNAcentral lists this ribosomal RNA (253 nucleotides) under uncultured bacterium. RNAcentral's name for it is "partial 16S ribosomal RNA". It matches the Rfam family "Bacterial small subunit ribosomal RNA", at positions 524 to 776 of the family's 1533-position model. The record is from RNAcentral.